CUCAGGACGAACGCUGGCGGCGUGCCUAAUACAUGCAAGUCGAGCGGACAGAUGGGAGCUUGCUCCCUGAUGUUAGCGGCGGACGGGUGAGUAACACGUGGGUAACCUGCCUGUAAGACUGGGAUAACUCCGGGAAACCGGGGCUAAUACCGGAUGGUUGUCUGAACCGCAUGGUUCAGACAUAAAAGGUGGCUUCGGCUACCACUUACAGAUGGACCCGCGGCGCAUUAGCUAGUUGGUGAGGUAACGGCUCACCAAGGCGACGAUGCGUAGCCGACCUGAGAGGGUGAUCGGCCACACUGGGACUGAGACACGGCCCAGACUCCUACGGGAGGCAGCAGUAGGGAAUCUUCCGCAAUGGACGAAAGUCUGACGGAGCAACGCCGCGUGAGUGAUGAAGGUUUUCGGAUCGUAAAGCUCUGUUGUUAGGGAAGAACAAGUGCCGUCAAAUAGGGCG
This 457-nucleotide ribosomal RNA is filed under the name Bacillus subtilis. RNAcentral describes it as "bacterial SSU rRNA". It matches the Rfam family "Bacterial small subunit ribosomal RNA", at positions 23 to 468 of the family's 1533-position model. The record is from RNAcentral. Lineage: Bacteria; Bacillati; Bacillota; Bacilli; Caryophanales; Bacillaceae.